CCGGGUUGCUCUAGGGCGGAGCCCAGGCCUGGAGAAGAGAAGGAAGGAAAUCUGCCGGAAGUAGUCGCCCUAGAACAGGCGGCGGAGCUCUCCGCGCCGCGUAGCCGAACCUUUUAGAGACCACGUGGGGACGGGGAAGCCCGCGCAGGAGACCUAGGAAUUAUCAUAGUGUCCCCUUAAAAUACAAGGAUUCUGGGCAAUCUGGGAUGCAUCAAUGCCCUACUAGAUCUGUAUCUCAAAGAGAUACAAAGAAAUGAUAAGCAGGAUGAUUUCAGAAAAACCUGGAAGCAUUUAUAUGAACUGAUGCAAAGUAAAAUUAGCAGGAUAAAGGAGAACGUGGUAUAGCCUAUAUCAAAUUGCUAAUAUCUUGAGGAAAGAAGAAAAUUUGGAACUCAAAUUUUUAAAAAAUGUUUAAAUUCUUAUAUGUAAAUGGAGAAAAUAAAUUAUUAUUAAAGUUUUAAAAAGUACAACUUUGCCAAAUUCUUGCUC
Sarcophilus harrisii (Tasmanian devil) is the source of this 489-nucleotide long non-coding RNA. The record is from Ensembl. Lineage: Eukaryota; Metazoa; Chordata; Mammalia; Dasyuromorphia; Dasyuridae.